GCUCCUGUAGCUCAAUGGUUAGAGCAGGGGACUCAUAAUCCCUUGGUUGUCGGUUCGAGUCCGGCCGGGAGCACCA
Molecule: transfer RNA, 76 nt
Filed under: Verrucomicrobiaceae bacterium
Lineage: Bacteria; Pseudomonadati; Verrucomicrobiota; Verrucomicrobiia; Verrucomicrobiales; Verrucomicrobiaceae
Description: tRNA-Ile
Rfam family: tRNA
About the family: Transfer RNA (tRNA) molecules are approximately 80 nucleotides in length. Their secondary structure includes four short double-helical elements and three loops (D, anti-codon, and T loops).
Source: RNAcentral